This 443-nucleotide ribosomal RNA is filed under the name uncultured bacterium. RNAcentral's name for it is "partial 16S ribosomal RNA". It matches the Rfam family "Bacterial small subunit ribosomal RNA", at positions 338 to 795 of the family's 1533-position model. The record is from RNAcentral.
CCUACGGGCGGCAGCAGUUAGGAAUAUUGGGCAAUGGACGCAAGCCUGACCCAGCAACGCCGCGUGAAGGAAGAAGGCUUUCGGGUUGUAAACUUCUGUUCUCGGGGACGAAGCAAGUGACGGUACCUGACGAAUAAGCCACGGCUAACUACGUGCCAGCAGCCGCGGUAAUACGUAGGUGGCAAGCGUUAUCCGGAUUUACUGGGCGUAAAGGGAGUGUAGGUUGUACUUCAAGUCAAAUGUGAAAACCACGGGCUCAACUAGUGGCCUGCAUUUGAAACUGUACUACUUGAGUACUGGAGGGGUAGGCGGAAUGCCUAGUGUAGCGGUGGAAUGCGUAGAUAUUAGGAGGAACACCAGAGGCGAAGGCGGUUUACUGGACAGCAACUGACGCUGAGGCGCGAAAGCGUGGGGAGCAAACAGGAUGAGAUACCCCGGUAGUC